Molecule: long non-coding RNA, 1442 nt
Organism: Vigna angularis (adzuki bean)
Lineage: Eukaryota; Viridiplantae; Streptophyta; Magnoliopsida; Fabales; Fabaceae
Exons: 6
Source: RefSeq, a predicted model, not a curated record
UUUCCCCAUUUUAAUAACUUCUUUUCCUCUGCUCUCUCGAACCUUCUUGAUGGAAGACGCGAAGAAGACCGAGUGGAUCGAAUCGAAUAUAGUUUAAACUCUUGAUGAAGGAAGUUAAUAAGAGAACUCGAAAGAGGAGGAACGCACCUACAAAACCCUAGGUUCGCGAUAAUACUCCAGGAGCGGAAAGGAUUCGACGUAGAGUGAAAAAUAGGAAGAUUUUUCGGUGAUAAAUGUGAAUUAGGUCGCGUGUUUGGUGGAAAAGGAAGAUUCAAGAGUUGAAUCGGUGAAAAGGUGCCAAAAUGAGGAUGUAAUUGGUGGAAAAGAUUAUAGCAAGCACAAAUCAAGUCGCAAAGUGUGAUUUGGUGAUGUGAAUCACGACGAUGAGGGCUCUGUGAGAGUGAUGAGGUAAGGAGAUUCACGAGCUCGAGAAGAAGCUAGGGUUAGGUUGUUGGACUCGUGAAAGCUCAAACCGUUGUCGCUGCGUGACUGAGCUAUUGUUCCAUAACCACCAUUGGGUUUUCUCACCUCCUACAAACGGUUAGCUUAUCUUGCGGACUUCGUAAGUCAUUCUUGUGAAAAUGGAGAUGAUAACUAAUGUUACUGAGUAUGAAGCAAUUGCAAAGGAAAAAUUGCCAAAGAUGGUUUAUGACUACUAUGCAUCAGGGGCAGAGAAUCAGUGGACUUUGGUAGAGAAUCGAAUUGCAUUCGCAAGGAUUCUCUAUUGAAUGGGUGAAGGGAAAAUAAGGUGGGAAAGCAAAUGGAGGAAGGAGGAAGUUUUGUCAAUAAAAACACGUGACUUGUAGCUUCCAAAAAGUGAAAAAGUCUUGAUGUCUAAAAGUGCUGCAAUGCUGGAUUUCAAUUUCAUCACAUAAAGUUUCUUGUUUCAGGUUCUUAUCUUUGCUUGUAUUGUUAGAGGGGCUAUAAGGAUUCAACCUCAGAGUAUCCAUUGAUUCAACACUUCUUUGAUAUUGUGCAGGGCUUGAGGUUAGGCAGCAACUACUGCACCUUUUUAAGGAGUUAUGGAAAUGAUAUGAUUAACAUCGACCAUUGUUGUUACCAUCAUUUAAGAGUAUUAAUCCAUCUAAAUAGGGUUCUAAAAUGUUGUCAAAGCUAGUAAGAUGAAAAUUUGGUGUUUAAGAGGCAGAAUGAGCUUAAAGAAAUUUACAGAGGAGUUCACAUGGAUGUCGAUAGUGAAUCUGUAAUGUUGAUCUGUCUCAUUUGCUUCAAAACAUGGAUGGUCAGAUAAGACAAGCCAAGGAGCGAGCUCUAAGCGUAAGGAUAUCUUAGAUAUGACUGGGAAUCUUGUUUUGUAAAUAAAUAGUUGUUGGAAUUAGUUUUUAUAAUUUUAUUCUGGUUUUAACAGUGUAGUCCAUAAUGGCUUGACAUACUGUAAAGUUGAAAUUUAAUGUUAGAAUAUAAUAGGUUAUGAUUUCGAGUUA